AGAGUUUGAUCAUGGCUCAGAUUGAACGCUGGCGGCAGGCUUAACACAUGCAAGUCGAGCGGUAACAGGGGAAGCUUGCUUCCCGCUGACGAGCGGCGGACGGGUGAGUAAUGCUUAGGAAUCUGCCCAGUAGUGGGGGAUAGCCCGGGGAAACCCGGAUUAAUACCGCAUACGUCCUACGGGAGAAAGCAGGGGAUCUUCGGACCUUGCGCUAUUGGAUGAGCCUAAGUCGGAUUAGCUAGUUGGUGGGGUAAAGGCCUACCAAGGCGACGAUCCGUAGCUGGUCUGAGAGGAUGAUCAGCCACAUCGGGACUGAGACACGGCCCGAACUCCUACGGGAGGCAGCAGUGGGGAAUAUUGGACAAUGGGGGCAACCCUGAUCCAGCCAUGCCGCGUGUGUGAAGAAGGCUUUCGGGUUGUAAAGCACUUUCAGUAGGGAGGAAAACCUUAUGGUUAAUACCCAUGAGGCUUGACGUUACCUACAGAAGAAGCACCGGCUAACUCCGUGCCAGCAGCCGCGGUAAUACGGAGGGUGCAAGCGUUAAUCGGAAUUACUGGGCGUAAAGCGCGCGUAGGUGGUUUGGUAAGCGAGAUGUGAAAGCCCCGGGCUUAACCUGGGAACGGCAUUUCGAACUGUCAGACUAGAGUGUGGUAGAGGGUAGUGGAAUUUCCUGUGUAGCGGUGAAAUGCGUAGAUAUAGGAAGGAACACCAGUGGCGAAGGCGGCUACCUGGACCAACACUGACACUGAGGUGCGAAAG
Molecule: ribosomal RNA, 760 nt
Filed under: uncultured bacterium
Lineage: Bacteria
Description: bacterial SSU rRNA
Rfam family: Bacterial small subunit ribosomal RNA
Source: RNAcentral